Mobula hypostoma (lesser devil ray) is the source of this 3247-nucleotide long non-coding RNA. RefSeq lists it as uncharacterized. NCBI's taxonomy places the organism in Eukaryota, Metazoa, Chordata, Chondrichthyes, Myliobatiformes, Myliobatidae. The record is from RefSeq and is a predicted model, not a curated record. The transcript has 3 exons.
UCAGAUUUGAGCUGUAGGUCAUAUUCUGAAUACUAGGUCCAGAGGUGCAAAAAUCUGAACUUUGCAUCUGGUAACAAGAGGUUUAAAUGCAAGGGAAUACAACAGGCUCGUGAGUUCAGCAGCAAAAAGUGGAAGGUUGCAGAAUACUGACAACAGGAAUUCUGCAGAUGCUGGAAAUUCAAGCAACACACAUCAAAGUUGCUGGUGAACGCAGCAGGCCAGGCAGCAUCUGUAGGAAGAGGUGCAGUCGACGUUUCAGGCCGAGACCCUUCGUCAGGACUAACUGAAGGAAGAAUAACACUGCAAGCCUUUACCUGGAGAAGUAGCGGUAGGCAUGGUGCUAUUACAGUUCAGAGCGUCAGAGUAUGAAGUUCAAUUCCGAUGUCUGCUGCAAGAAGUACGUACGUCCUUCCCCUGAGCGCGUGGGUUUCCUCAGGAUCCUCCGGUUUCUUCCCACAGCCCAAAGAUGUACCAGUUAAAAUUCAAGAUUGGUUAAUGUCAUUUCCUGUACACAAGUGUAAGGCGAACAAAAUAACCGUUACUCCAGUUCCGAUGCAGCACAAAAGCCACAAAAGGUAGAAGGUACAAGUGCCGCAGGACUCGCGCCACCAGGUUCAAGAACAGUUACUACCUCUCAACCAUCAGGCUCUUGAAUGAAAGGGGAUAACUACACUCACUUAAGGACUCUUUUAUCUUAUUAUUUCUUGCUGAUUAUUUAUUGCCAUUUAUUUAUAUCUGCAUUUGCAUGUUUUAUUCACACCUAACUGUUCCUGAUGUGUUAACAAUCAAAUAUUACUCUGAAGUUUGAAUUAUGGAAAAGGCAUGCAGUGGCUAUAUUUUGUUUGGAGUUAAGGUGAUUUGGUCUGUCACCAAAGCAAAUUUCUACAGAUGUACCAUGAAUUCUGUCUGGUUGCCUCACCAUCCGAUAUGAUUGUGCCAAUGCAACAGGAUCAGCAAAAGCUAGAAGGGUUGUAAACUCAGCCAGCUCCAUCACGGACACAAGCCUCCCCACCAUUGACAACAUCUCCAACAGGUGGUGCCUCGAGACGGCAGCAUCUAUCAUGAAGGACCCCUGUCACCCAAAGUAUGUCCUCUUCUCAUCGCUCUCAUCAAGGGCGAGAUACAGGAGCCUGAAUCAACACUCAAUAUUUUAGGAACUGUUUCUUCCCUCCACCAUCAGAUUUCUGAAAGGACCAAUGACACGACCUUAUUUUGUGCUCUCUUUUUGCACUGUUUUAAAUAUAUUUCUUACCGUAACAUAUUGUAAUGAACCUGCUUCUGGUUCUGAAUUAAAAGAGCUUGGAAUUUUGUAGCAUGUCAGCAGUUUAAUUUCCUUUGUUAUUAUGGGUCGUGGCCCUCCACACCCCUGCCACAGUCCUGCUAAUUUGGCUGAUAUUUUAAGGAUACAGCAACUGAUGUGGACAGAAGUGAGGAAUAUCUGAGCCAGAAGAGAGUGAGAAGUUUUGUUUGUGAUUUGCGAAGCCUGGCAGUGAUAUUAUUUUACCAUCAUGGCUACAGAUUCCAUUGUACGUUGUCCUCUUCCAAGAAGUCCUCUUUGCAGGAUGUUUAGAAGUUUGGAGCCAGAGAGGUGUUGGGUUUUUUCUCUAGCCAAACUGUUCCCUGCUUUAAUUCAUUUCCACUUUUAAAGAAGUUCCUGGGAUUUCAAUUGAAUUUUUUCUAUUAUCCCAUUGACAUAGUUCUUCCAAGGUUUCCAUUAAUCUCUGCUACGGUGACAGCAGGAAACUGGGAAUCCCUAGAGGAAAUUCCAGUGUUAUGUUUCCUCUGAAAAUUUUAACCGCAUUAACACAAGACCCUGCCUAUCUCUCCUUGGGGAUUUCCUCAUAAGAAACAGAAGAAGGUGUGGACAGGUAGUCCCUCAACCAUGCUCAUCCAUUCUAGACUAGGACUAGUUUGAUCUUGGUCUCAAGUUGAUUUUGCUGCCUGCUUCUCAUAACUCUUGAUUCUUCAAGGCACUGAUAACCCACUUAACCCUUUCCAGUAAAGUACUGAUUCAUUAUACCACACUUAAUCUUCCACUCUCAAGAGGCAUGUAGCUGUGAUUUUACCCAGGUAUCAUUAACGAACCCCAUCAUCCAGGUCAUGCUCUCUCUCACUGCUACCAUCGAGCAGGAGGUACAAGAGCUUUAGGUCCCACACCACCAGGCUCACAAACAAUUAUUACCCUAUGUCAAUCCACCUCCUGAAGCAGCAUGGCUAAAUUCUCACAGCUCAGCGCUAAAUUGACCCUACAGCCUAUAACUCACUUUCAAAGACACUGCAACUCAGUAUUUUUUUACUUUUUUAAAAUUAUUUGCAUGAUUUGUCUUUUGCACAUUGGUUGUUUGUCAGUCUUUGUUAUUUAUAGUUUUACAUAAAUUCUAGUCUAUUUCUUUAUUUUUCUGUAAAUGCCGACAAGAAAAUGAAUCUCAAGGUAGUAUAUGGUGACAUAUAUGUACUUACAUUUUUUAAUUACUGCCCAUUGUCUGCUGGCGUUUAGGUCAGCAAGGAAAGUCCUCCAUCUGUUCAUCAUGCCAAUAGCUUCCUCUCAGUUUUCACUAAUACCAGCCAUGCAAGUCCCGGGUGGUGACUCUGGAGUACCGUUCUGCAAAGGUGUAGAAGGAUUCUUCGUUGCUGUUUCCGUAACAGUUUUGCUUGACCAGUCAGGGUUGUUGGUCCUGAGCUGAUCCCGCAAUCCUGGAAGGUCGAUGGAUCAUUCUUAGUCUGGCCUGUCCUUUGACCUGUUUGGCACUGGGUGACCCAGAGCCAAAGCAUAAAGCCCUAACACCAGCCAGAGUCAUCCAGAAACACAAGCCUCCAAAUUACGGCAAUGUUGUGCUCCUUUUGGAGGAUGUAUACAUACUUCGAUAAUAGACUUCCCUUGACUUUGACUUUGAGAUGCCAAGAACCUCACUUAUCACAACAACUAGAAAUGAGCAUGGCCUUUACUUCUAGAAAGAUGGUUUGGUGAGCUGAAUAUUAUGGAAGGUUGACUAUAAAUGGUUGGCAUUGGUGUAAGCAAAGACAUCAUUGAGAUUUUCAGAAGGUGAUGCUGUGUGAUGCGGAAGAUUAGAUUAGAUUAGAUUAUGAGGACACGCAGUCCUCUUUUAUUGUCAUUUAGUAAUGCAUGCAUUAAGAAAUGAUACAAUGUUUCUCCAGAAUGAUAUGACAGAAACGCAUGACAAACUGACUGAAAAACUGACAAAAACUGACAAGAGAUGAUGAAAGAGGAUGUUUUUGGAAUCCACUC